Molecule: ribosomal RNA, 1396 nt
Filed under: uncultured bacterium
Lineage: Bacteria
Description: 16S ribosomal RNA
Rfam family: Bacterial small subunit ribosomal RNA
Source: RNAcentral
UCAUGGCUCAGAACGAACGCUGGCGGCAGGCCUAACACAUGCAAGUCGAGCGAGACCUUCGGGUCUAGCGGCGGACGGGUUAGUAACGCGUGGGAACGUGCCCUUCUCUGCGGAAUAGCCACUGGAAACGGUGAGUAAUACCGCAUACGCCCUUCGGGGGAAAGAUUUAUCGGAGAAGGAUCGGCCCGCGUUAGAUUAGAUAGUUGGUGGGGUAACGGCCUACCAAGUGUACGAUCUAUAGCUGGUUUUAGAGGAUGAUCAGCAACACUGGGAGUGAGACACGGCCCAGACUCCUUCGGGAGGCAGCAGUGGGGAAUCUUAGACAAUGGGCGCAAGCCUGAUCUAGCCAUGCCGCGUGUGUGAUGAAGGUCUUAGGAUCGUAAAGCACUUUCGCCAGGGAUGAUAAUGACAGUACCUGGUAAAGAAACCCCGGCUAACUCCGUGCCAGCAGCCGCGGUAAUACGGAGGGGGUUAGCGUUGUUCGGAAUUACUGGGCGUAAAGCGCGCGUAGGCGGAUUGGAAAGUUGGGGGUGAAAUCCCGGGGCUCAACCCCGGAACUGCCUCCAAAACUAUCAGUCUAGAGUUCGAGAGAGGUGAGUGGAAUUCCAAGUGUAGAGGUGAAAUUCGUAGAUAUUUGGAGGAACACCAGUGGCGAAGGCGGCUCACUGGCUCGAUACUGACGCUGAGGUGCGAAAGUGUGGGGAGCAAACAGGAUUAGAUACCCUGGUAGUCCACACCGUAAACGAUGAAUGCCAGUCGUCGGGCAGUAUACUGUUCGGUGACACACCUAACGGAUUAAGCAUUCCGCCUGGGGAGUACGGUCGCAAGAUUAAAACUCAAAGGAAUUGACGGGGGCCCGCACAAGCGGUGGAGCAUGUGGUUUAAUUCUAAGCAACGCGCAGAACCUUACCAACCCUUGACAUCCUGUGCCACUCCGAGAGAUCAGACGUUCCCUUCUGGGACGCAGUGACAGGUGCUGCAUGGCUGUCGUCAGCUCGUGUCGUGAGAUGUUCGGUUAAGUCCGGCAACGAGCGCAACCCACAUCCUUACUUGCCAGCAGUUCGGCUGGGCACUCUAAGGAAACUGCCCGUGAUAAGCGGGAGGAAGGUGUGGAUGACGUCAAGUCCUCAUGGCCCUUACUGGUUGGGCUACACACGUGCUACAAUGGCAGUGACAAUGGGUUAAUCCCCAAAAGCUGUCUCAGAUCGGAUUGCGGUCUGCAACUCGACCCCAUGAAGUCGGAAUCGCUAGUAAUCGUGGAACAGCAUGCCACGGUGAAUACGUUCUCGGGCCUUGUACACACCGCCCGUCACACCAUGGGAGUUGGUUCUACCCGACAGCCGUGCGCUAACCUUUUGGGGGCAGCGGACCACGGUACGAUCAGCGACUGGGGUGA